This is a long non-coding RNA of Micropterus dolomieu (smallmouth bass), 788 nucleotides long. RefSeq lists it as uncharacterized. The record is from RefSeq and is a predicted model, not a curated record. The transcript is spliced from 3 exons. NCBI's taxonomy places the organism in Eukaryota, Metazoa, Chordata, Actinopteri, Centrarchiformes, Centrarchidae.
UUCCACCAGGGACUUGCCCCUUAAGACAGACUCUAGGAAGCUGUCGCCCAGAUUCAUUGGCCCGUUUGUAGUGGACAGUUAUCAAUCACCACCACCAAUAUCACCACGGUGGUCAGGCUCAAACUGCCUCGCUCCCUUCGGGUCUACUCUUCGUUCCAUGUCUCACGCAUCAAACCUGUUUCCACCAGCCCGUUGGCUCCUCCCCCUCCUCCACCUCCACAGAUGAUUGAUGGCUUCCCCGCUUAUACAGUCCGCCGGAUUUUGGACUUGCGCCGCCGUGGGUUCCAGUACCUUGUCGACUGGGGAGGCUAUGGCCCUGAGGAGAGGAGCUGGGUUCCCCGCCGGCAGAUCCUGGAUGCCUCCCUCGUCAGGGACUUUCAUAGGCUGCAUCCUGAGAGGCCUGGUAGGGCGCCCGGAGGCACCUGUUGGGGAGGGGGUACUGUCAUGAACCCUGCAUCUUUCACCUGAGUUUGGGACUGAUUUUUUGAAUCCUGGGAAUGUCUGGGUUCCUGAGUUGGCACUUGCUGCACCUGCUGGUAAUCACGCACCUGUUCCUGAUCAGCCAUCCCUACCUCUUAAGGACAGACCAGACUUCCAUUACCUGCUGGAUUGUUAAUUUGCGUACCAUCACCUGCUCUGCCUGCCAGCCAGUUCCAAGUCCCUCAAAGCAGAGAUCUAAACUUUCCAGCCAGCCACGCCAGCCAGCCCUCAUGCUCCACUGCUUGGAAAGAGACUCCCUGCCACCUCACCCUGCCUAGUUUGCUCACGCUGCCUCAAUCAAUAAACUG